GCAGUCGAGCGGAGAGAGGUAGCUUGCUACUGAUCUUAGCGGCGGACGGGUGAGUAAUACUUAGGAAUCUGCCUAUUAGUGGGGGACAACAUCUCGAAAGGGAUGCUAAUACCGCAUACGUCCUACGGGAGAAAGCAGGGGAUCUUUAUGACCUUGCGCUAAUAGAUGAGCCUAAGUCGGAUUAGCUAGUUGGUGGGGUAAAGGCCUACCAAGGCGACGAUCUGUAGCGGGUCUGAGAGGAUGAUCCGCCACACUGGGACUGAGACACGGCCCAGACUCCUACGGGAGGCAGCAGUGGGGAAUAUUGGACAAUGGGGGGAACCCUGAUCCAGCCAUGCCGCGUGUGUGAAGAAGGCCUUAUGGUUGUAAAGCACUUUAAGCGAGGAGGAGGCUUACCUGGUUAAUACCCAGGAUAAGUGGACGUUACUCGCAGAAUAAGCACCGGCUAACUCUGUGCCAGCAGCCGCGGUAAUACAGAGGGUGCAAGCGUUAAUCGGAUUUACUGGGCGUAAAGCGCGCGUAGGCGGCCAAUUAAGUCAAAUGUGAAAUCCCCGAGCUUAACUUGGGAAUUGCAUUCGAUACUGUUUGGCUAGAGUGUGGGAGAGGAUGGUAGAAUUCCAGGUGUAGCGGUGAAAUGCGUAGAGAUCUGGAGGAAUACCGAUGGCGAAGGCAGCCAUCUGGCCUAACACUGACGCUGAGGUGCGAAAGCAUGGGGAGCAAACAGGAUUAGAUACCCUGGUAGUCCAUGCCGUANACGAUGUCUACUAGCCGUUGGGGCCUUUGAGGCUUUAGUGGCGCAGCUAACGCGAUAAGUAGACCGCCUGGGGAGUACGGUCGCAAGACUAAAACUCAAAUGAAUUGACGGGGGCCCGCACAAGCGGUGGAGCAUGUGGUUUAAUUCGAUGCAC
Molecule: ribosomal RNA, 908 nt
Filed under: Acinetobacter baylyi
Lineage: Bacteria; Pseudomonadati; Pseudomonadota; Gammaproteobacteria; Moraxellales; Moraxellaceae
Description: bacterial SSU rRNA
Rfam family: Bacterial small subunit ribosomal RNA
Source: RNAcentral